Molecule: ribosomal RNA, 137 nt
Filed under: uncultured bacterium
Lineage: Bacteria
Description: partial 16S ribosomal RNA
Rfam family: Bacterial small subunit ribosomal RNA
Source: RNAcentral
UCGGGAAUAUUGCGCAAUGGAGGAAACUCUGACGCAGUGACGCCGCGUAUAGGAAGAAGGUUUUCGGAUUGUAAACUAUUUUAGUCAGGGAAGAAAAAGACGGUACCUGAAGAAUAAGCUCCGGCUAACUACGUGCC